UGGGGAAUAUUGCACAAUGGGCGCAAGCCUGAUGCAGCCAUGCCGCGUGUGUGAAGAAGGCAUUCGGGUUGUAAAGCACUUUCAGCGGGGAGGAAGGCGAUAAGGUUAAUAACCUUGUCGAUUGAUGUUACCCGCAGAAGAAGCACCGGCUAACUCCGUGCCAGCAGCUGCGGUAAUACGGAGGAUGCAAGCGUUAAUCGGAAUUACUGGGCGUAAAGCGCACGCAGGCGGUCUGUCAAGUCGGAUGUGAAAUCCCCGGGCUCAACAUGGGAACUGCAUUCGAAACUGGCAGGCUAGAGUAUUGUAGAGGGGGGUAGAAUUACAGGUGUAGCGGUGAAAUGCGUAGUGAUCUGGAGGAAUACCAGUGGAGAAGGCGGCCCCCUGGACAAAGACUGACGCUCAUGUGCGAAAGCGUGGGGAGCAAACAGG
This 429-nucleotide ribosomal RNA is filed under the name Chloroflexota bacterium. RNAcentral describes it as "Chloroflexi bacterium partial 16S ribosomal RNA". It matches the Rfam family "Bacterial small subunit ribosomal RNA", at positions 355 to 776 of the family's 1533-position model. The record is from RNAcentral. Lineage: Bacteria; Bacillati; Chloroflexota.